UGGAUUGGCUAAAAAGUUCGUUCGGGUUUUUCUGUAACAUGGAAAAACCCAAAUGAACUUUUUGGCCAACCCA
RNAcentral lists this microRNA precursor (73 nucleotides) under Tursiops truncatus (common bottlenose dolphin). Its description in RNAcentral is "miRNA (ENSTTRG00000025137.1)". Lineage: Eukaryota; Metazoa; Chordata; Mammalia; Artiodactyla; Delphinidae. The record is from RNAcentral.